AUUGAACGCUGGCGGCAGGCCUAACACAUGCAAGUCGAGCGGAUGAAGGGAGCUUGCUCCUGGAUUCAGCGGCGGACGGGUGAGUAAUGCCUAGGAAUCUGCCUGGUAGUGGGGGAUAACGUCCGGAAACGGGCGCUAAUACCGCAUACGUCCUGAGGGAGAAAGUGGGGGAUCUUCGGACCGCACGCUAUCAGAUGAGCCUAGGUCGGAUUAGCUAGUUGGUGGGGUAAAGGCCUACCAAGGCGACGAUCCGUAACUGGUCUGAGAGGAUGAUCAGUCACACUGGAACUGAGACACGGUCCAGACUCCUACGGGAGGCAGCAGUGGGGAAUAUUGGACAAUGGGCGAAAGCCUGAUCCAGCCAUGCCGCGUGUGUGAAGAAGGUCUUCGGAUUGUAAAGCACUUUAAGUUGGGAGGAAGGGCAGUAAGUUAAUACCUUGCUGUUUUGACGUUACCAACAGAAUAAGCACCGGCUAACUUCGUG
This 484-nucleotide ribosomal RNA is filed under the name uncultured bacterium. Its description in RNAcentral is "partial 16S ribosomal RNA". It matches the Rfam family "Bacterial small subunit ribosomal RNA", at positions 30 to 507 of the family's 1533-position model. The record is from RNAcentral.